This is a long non-coding RNA of Hippocampus zosterae (dwarf seahorse), 382 nucleotides long. RefSeq lists it as uncharacterized. NCBI's taxonomy places the organism in Eukaryota, Metazoa, Chordata, Actinopteri, Syngnathiformes, Syngnathidae. The record is from RefSeq and is a predicted model, not a curated record. The transcript is spliced from 4 exons.
UCUAUUGUCGUUGUGUUGUUGUUUCAGCUCUGUUUACCGAGUGUUUCAAGAGGAACAAGCGGCACAGUUAAUCACGCUUUUCACUCAGUUCAGUCACAACACGAAGAACCGUAAAGCUGAAGAUGUCACAUGGCCGUAGGGUGGAUAUGAACGCCUGCCUACCCUCCGAAAGAAGUUCAGUGAAUUGGAUGGUGUUGAAGAAAACAUCAGAUUCACCACUAAACCUCCAUGUUGAUGCUUGCAAGAAUCAGAAGAAAAGAUUUCAUUCAAGACUUUUGGACGUGGAGACAGACUCUCAUUGCUGGUUGCAGCAGGAAUGAGGCAUCCAACAUUUGGCAGCAGAUGAAACUAAAUAAACCUAUACGGAUAUACAGAUCACAAA